This 534-nucleotide long non-coding RNA is filed under the name Homo sapiens (human). RNAcentral's name for it is "non-protein coding lnc-CXorf51A-14:1". The record is from RNAcentral. Lineage: Eukaryota; Metazoa; Chordata; Mammalia; Primates; Hominidae.
AUCUUUUCUCCAGCGUUCUUUAAAUCUGUGAAAGCACGUUUAACAUACCUUUCACUGUUUUGCUUGUAUUCUCUCUUGAAAUACCUGGGUAAUUGGAGCAAGAGAUGUGAGUGUGUAUGUAUGUGUAUAAGGUAACUUGAAUUAUCGAGAUUACUGUAUUUUCUCCAUUGUGUGUGGUAAGAAAUAUAAACUUCUGUAAGAGCUGUUGGUGUGAUAGGUAUAUGCUGGUAUUAAUAAUUUGAGAAGCUACAGAUGGAAAAAAUGAGUGUGGUUCUUAUUUUUUUAACCAUUAACCCUAAUUCAUUCUUCCCAAAUUUGUGAUAAAGAUCCAUUAGUGACUUUCGGGGAAGAUGACAAAUGAUUAAAGAAGAAAUAGUCACUGUUACAUCUGUUCUAGGGGGAAACUAUAAACUGGGGGAAUAAUGGUUGUGCCUUUAGUGAAGACUGAGACCCCUUUAUAAACACUUUGUAAUUAGUUUUGUGUGCUAUCAAAUCUUUUCUGAGCCCCAGACGACUAUGGGCUAUAUCAUGUCU